RNAcentral lists this ribosomal RNA (894 nucleotides) under uncultured bacterium. RNAcentral's name for it is "bacterial SSU rRNA". It matches the Rfam family "Bacterial small subunit ribosomal RNA", at positions 8 to 916 of the family's 1533-position model. The record is from RNAcentral.
AGAGUUUGAUCAUGGCUCAGGACGAACGCUGGCGGCGUGCUUAACACAUGCAAGUCGAACGAUGAACCACUUCGGUGGGGAUUAGUGGCGAACGGGUGAGUAACACGUGGGCAAUCUGCCCUGCACUCUGGGACAAGCCCUGGAAACGGGGUCUAAUACCGGAUACUGACCCGCUUGGGCAUCCAAGCGGUUCGAAAGCUCCGGCGGUGCAGGAUGAGCCCGCGGCCUAUCAGCUUGUUGGUGAGGUAAUGGCUCACCAAGGCGACGACGGGUAGCCGGCCUGAGAGGGCGACCGGCCACACUGGGACUGAGACACGGCCCAGACUCCUACGGGAGGCAGCAGUGGGGAAUAUUGCACAAUGGGCGAAAGCCUGAUGCAGCGACGCCGCGUGAGGGAUGACGGCCUUCGGGUUGUAAACCUCUUUCAGCAGGGAAGAAGCGAAAGUGACGGUACCUGCAGAAGAAGCGCCGGCUAACUACGUGCCAGCAGCCGCGGUAAUACGUAGGGCGCGAGCGUUGUCCGGAAUUAUUGGGCGUAAAGAGCUCGUAGGCGGCUUGUCGCGUCGGUUGUGAAAGCCCGGGGCUUAACCCCGGGUCUGCAGUCGAUACGGGCAGGCUAGAGUUCGGUAGGGGAGAUCGGAAUUCCUGGUGUAGCGGUGAAAUGCGCAGAUAUCAGGAGGAACACCGGUGGCGAAGGCGGAUCUCUGGGCCGAUACUGACGCUGAGGAGCGAAAGCGUGGGGAGCGAACAGGAUUAGAUACCCUGGUAGUCCACGCCGUAAACGGUGGGCACUAGGUGUGGGCGACAUUCCACGUCGUCCGUGCCGCAGCUAACGCAUUAAGUGCCCCGCCUGGGGAGUACGGCCGCAAGGCUAAAACUCAAAGGAAUUGACGG